Molecule: ribosomal RNA, 292 nt
Filed under: uncultured bacterium
Lineage: Bacteria
Description: partial 16S ribosomal RNA
Rfam family: Bacterial small subunit ribosomal RNA
Source: RNAcentral
GUGCCAGCAGCCGCGGUAAUACGGAGGGUGCAAGCGUUAUCCGGAUUCACUGGGUUUAAAGGGUGCGUAGGCGGAAUGGAAAGUCCGUUGUGAAAUCUCCGAGCUUAACUCGGAAAUUGCGGUGGAUACUAUCAUUCUUGAAUACUGUGGAGGUUAGCGGAAUAUGUCAUGUAGCGGUGAAAUGCAUAGAUAUGACAUAGAACACCAAUUGCGAAGGCAGCUGGCUACACAGAUAUUGACGCUGAGGCACGAAAGCGUGGGGAUCAAACAGGAUUAGAAACCCGGGUAGUCC